This 781-nucleotide long non-coding RNA is filed under the name Vigna radiata. RNAcentral's name for it is "long non-coding RNA (VRAD_LNC010631)". The record is from RNAcentral. Lineage: Eukaryota; Viridiplantae; Streptophyta; Magnoliopsida; Fabales; Fabaceae.
CCCUCAGAAUUUCCCAAUGCACUUCCAUGUGGAUAGUUAGAAUCUGUAUGAAGAAACCCAUUCAUAUAUUUACAAUCAUAUUUGCUUUGACACUUACAAAUUUAAAAGAAAAAUGUUGAUAUUCACGUACAUGAAUAUAUAUGAGUAUUAAAAAAACCACAAGAAUCGUUUUAUCAUUUUAAUCAACAUAUAAUAAUAUAUAAACUAGCGCAUUUAAUUUAAAUAACAAUUAUUUUAAUAUAAAAAUAUUUAUGUAAUUUGUGUAAAUAACAUAUACAUGCGCCGCGUACCUGUACAAUGCGAAUAAUGAAAACUGACAAUAAUAAUAAAAGAAAAUGGUUCAAUGAUAUUCGUUCACAGUGAAGUUUUGAAGAUUAGCAAGGAAAAGAUGUUACUGAGAAAGAUAACAGAAAUAGAGGAAGAAAGAAGAAAAGAGAAAAAAGAGUAAAGAUUGCCAAAGGAUGGUUGGUUGCCCUUAAAAUAAAGGUUAAGGCAUUGAAGUAUUAGAAGAAACGAAGAGCAUAAUCCUUUUUCCUUUUCUUCCCUUGAUGCCAUGGAAGGUGAUGAUGAGAGCUGAAAUUCAUGUUGAAGAAGAGCAAAAAGCUGAGAAUAAUGUUGGUGAAGUGAGGUAAAGAUGUUAGUGGGUUUUGUAGGUCACAAGGGAAAGUGGAGGAAAGGAUCUUCCUCGCAUAUGCCUUCUUUCUCUUUGCUUUUCUCUUAUUUAUCUUUUUAUAACCAAAGCCCACUACAAUAAUUCCUCACAAUACUCUUUCUUCCUGCA